GCUUUUAUUUGGAAAAGUGAGACACAGCAACGUUUCGACAACUGAAAGGGUCUUUGUCAAUUUUGACAAAGACCAUUUCAAGGGUCGAAACGUUGAUGUGUCUUACUUUUCCAAAUAAAUC
Non-coding RNA from Pelobates cultripes (western spadefoot toad), 121 nucleotides. The record is from the annotation of a GenBank genome assembly. Lineage: Eukaryota; Metazoa; Chordata; Amphibia; Anura; Pelobatidae.